UAAACCAAUAUGGUAGAGCUUAUAAUUUAGAGUUGUAGGUAGUUAAUGCGUGUAUAUAAGUAAUGUAAUAGUAAUUUAUUGUAGAGUGGUGUAAUACGGCUAUAAUAAUUGGUCUAUAUAUAUAUCAGUUUGUUGAGGCUACGAAAGUUUAAUGGUAGACUGGGAUUUGAUACCCCAUUAUAUAAGCUGUAAAUUGGUUAUUAUAAUCUACUAGGGGACUACGAACAAUGGUUUGAAACUCGAAGAACUUGGCGGUGUUUUGGAUUUUUAAGGGAACUUGCUUUUGAAUCGAUGAUCCGCGUUAUACAUGACCUUAAUUUGCUCUCAGUUUGUAUAUCGUUGUCACAAGUCAUGACUGAGAAGUUUUGGGCUAGAAAAUUUAUAGGUUUCUAUGUCAGAUCAAGAUGCAACUUAUAUUAAGGGUAAGGUGAGUUACAAUUGUUGGAGUACAUAACGGAUGCGAGAAGGAAGGUUUCUUGUUGAAGAAGGACUUAAAAGUAAAUUAGGCUAGAGGAAUGAUUUGAAUAUAAAUCUGAAAUGUGU
This 543-nucleotide ribosomal RNA is filed under the name Volvarina sp. MNHN-IM-2013-60956. RNAcentral's name for it is "partial 12S ribosomal RNA". Lineage: Eukaryota; Metazoa; Mollusca; Gastropoda; Neogastropoda; Marginellidae. The record is from RNAcentral.